Non-coding RNA from Pelobates cultripes (western spadefoot toad), 343 nucleotides. Lineage: Eukaryota; Metazoa; Chordata; Amphibia; Anura; Pelobatidae. The record is from the annotation of a GenBank genome assembly.
CAGCAAGUGAACAGUUACUUCUUUGUAUGUGUUGGAAGCAAGAAAAAUGGGCAAGCAAAAAGAUACGAAUGACUUUGACAAGGGGCGAAAAGUGAUAACUAGCAUCUCCAAAACGGCAAGUCUUGUGGUGUGUUUCCGGUAUACAGUGGUUAGAACCUACCAAAAAUGGUGCAAGGAAGGACAAUUUGUGAACUGGUAUUAGUGUCAUGGGGGUGCACGGGGGGCUGCGAAAGCUAGUCCAACUAUCCGAUCACACAGAAGAGCUAACGUAGCUCGAAUUGCAUAAAAACGUAAUACUGGCCAUGAUAAAAAGGUGUCUGAAUACACGGUGCACUAUAGUAUG